CCUACGGGAGGCAGCAGUGGGGAAUUUUGGACAAUGGGCCGAAAGCCUGAUCCAGCCAUGCCGCGUGAGUGAAGAAGGCCUUCGGGUUGUAAAGCUCUUUUAGUCGGAAAGAAAGAGUUGCAAUGAAUAAUUGUGAUUUAUGACGGUACCGACAGAAAAAGCACCGGCUAACUUACGUGCCAGCAGCCGCGGUAAUACGUAGGGUGCGAGCGUUAAUCGGAAUUACUGGGCGUAAAGGGUGCGCAGGCGGUCUUGCAAGUCAGAUGUGAAAGCCCCGGGCUUAACCUGGGAAUUGCGUUUGAAACUACAAGGCUAGAGUGCAGCGGAGGGGAGUGGAAUUCCAUGUGUAGCAGUGAAAUGCGUAGAGAUGUGGAAGAACACCGAUGGCGAAGCAGCUCCCUGGGUUGACACUGACGCUCAUGCACGAAAGCGUGGGGAGCAAACAGGAUUAGAUACCCUGGUAGUCCACGCCCUAAACGAUGUCAACUAGUUGUCGGAUCUAAUUAAGGAUUUGGUAACGUAGCUAACGCGUGAAGUUGACCGCCUGGGGAGUACGGUCGCAAGAUUAAAACUCAAAGGAA
This 581-nucleotide ribosomal RNA is filed under the name uncultured beta proteobacterium. RNAcentral's name for it is "bacterial SSU rRNA". It matches the Rfam family "Bacterial small subunit ribosomal RNA", at positions 338 to 909 of the family's 1533-position model. The record is from RNAcentral. Lineage: Bacteria; Pseudomonadati; Pseudomonadota; Betaproteobacteria.